UCUUACACCAUAAAAAACAAUCACUUAAGAACCCAUUUUUCCUUCAUAAAAAUCAGCCAUGAACACUCCAAAUAAUCUUCAUUUUAAGCCAUUUUCAUGAUGAUCAAAGUGUACGUUUAUGCAAGUUAUGAAGAUCUAAGACAUCUCCAAGUUGAAGCAUCCAUUUUCAUCCAUUCUAGAGCUUUCAACCAUCAUAAUUUUCAUCAUCUUUGCUCAUCAUAUUCAUCAAGAUCAUCCCUAGCCUAGUGCUAGAAGUCGCAACAUUGUUCAGGACGACCACGCGUAAGAUCACGAACACGUACCAUUCGUGGACGCAAUACUGAAAUUAGUGGACCAUGCAGAUAUUUCAGUCAAGAAAAACAAGUAUCCAGACUCCAUGCCAACUAUUGAAGGGUUUGCCCGUUAUAUACCGCCUCUUUGCGGUAAUAUAGUGGUUAAAGCCUUGACAUUUUAAGACUUACAUUUUGAUGUACGAAACAAUGACAGUUUCUUUUCAGUUGAUGGUUUGUAAACAAUACACUAAACUUAUGUUGCGUUAUUUCGAACAAUUAUGGUAAUGGAA
Molecule: long non-coding RNA, 562 nt
Organism: Helianthus annuus (common sunflower)
Lineage: Eukaryota; Viridiplantae; Streptophyta; Magnoliopsida; Asterales; Asteraceae
Exons: 3
Source: RefSeq, a predicted model, not a curated record